Molecule: ribosomal RNA, 299 nt
Filed under: Pantoea sp. GL120224-02
Lineage: Bacteria; Pseudomonadati; Pseudomonadota; Gammaproteobacteria; Enterobacterales; Erwiniaceae
Description: 23S rRNA. Bacterial LSU
Rfam family: Bacterial large subunit ribosomal RNA
Source: RNAcentral
UCGGUCCCUAUCUGCCGUGGGCGCUGGAGAAUUGAGGGGGGUUGCUCCUAGUACGAGAGGACCGGAGUGAACGCACCACUGGUGUUCGGGUUGUCAUGCCAAUGGCAUUGCCCGGUAGCUAAGUGCGGAAAAGAUAAGUGCUGAAAGCAUCUAAGCACGAAACUUGCCCCGAGAUGAGUUCUCCCUGACUCCCAGAGAGUCCUGAAGGGACGUUGAAGACGACGACGUUGAUAGGCCGGAUGUGUAAGUGCAGCGAUGCAUUGAGCUAACCGGUACUAAUGACCCGUGAGGCUUAACCU